GCCAGAGUGGCGAAAUUGGUAGACGCAGCGGAUUCAAAAUCCGCCGGUAGCAAUACUGUGCCGGUUCAAGUCCGGCCUCUGGUA
Molecule: transfer RNA, 84 nt
Filed under: Neptunicella marina
Lineage: Bacteria; Pseudomonadati; Pseudomonadota; Gammaproteobacteria; Alteromonadales; Alteromonadaceae
Rfam family: tRNA
About the family: Transfer RNA (tRNA) molecules are approximately 80 nucleotides in length.
Source: Rfam by way of RNAcentral